AAAUGACUCUCGACAACGGAUAUCCCGGCUCUCGCAUCGAUGAAGAACGUAGCGAAAUGCGAUACUUGGUCUGAAUUGCAGAAUCCCGUGAACCAUCGAGUCUUUGAACGCAAGUUGCGCCCGAAGCCAUUAGGCCGAGGGCACGUCUGCCUGGGUGUCACGCAUCGUGUUGC
Molecule: ribosomal RNA, 173 nt
Filed under: Cuminum cyminum
Lineage: Eukaryota; Viridiplantae; Streptophyta; Magnoliopsida; Apiales; Apiaceae
Description: 5.8S ribosomal RNA
Rfam family: 5.8S ribosomal RNA
About the family: 5.8S ribosomal RNA (5.8S rRNA) is a component of the large subunit of the eukaryotic ribosome. It is transcribed by RNA polymerase I as part of the 45S precursor that also contains 18S and 28S rRNA. Functionally, it is thought that 5.8S rRNA may be involved in ribosome translocation.
Source: RNAcentral